GACGAGCGCUGGCGGCGUGCCUAAUACAUGCAAGUCGAGCGCAGGAAACUGACGGAACUCUUCGGAGGGAAGGCAGUGGAAUGAGCGGCGGACGGGUGAGUAACACGUAAGGAACCUGCCUCAAGGAUUGGGAUAACUCCGAGAAAUCGGAGCUAAUACCGGAUAGUUCAUCGGACCGCAUGGUCCGUUGAUGAAAGGCGCUUCGGCGUCACCUUGAGAUGGCCUUGCGGUGCAUUAGCUAGUUGGUGGGGUAACGGCCCACCAAGGCGACGAUGCAUAGCCGACCUGAGAGGGUGAUCGGCCACACUGGGACUGAGACACGGCCCAGACUCCUACGGGAGGCAGCAGUAGGGAAUCUUCCACAAUGGACGAAAGUCUGAUGGAGCAACGCCGCGUGAGUGAUGAAGGUCUUCGGAUCGUAAAACUCUGUUGUAAGGGAAGAACACGUACGAGAGGGAAUGCUCGUACCUUGACGGUACCUUACGAGAAAGCCACGGCUAACUACGUGCCAGCCGCCGCGGUAA
Molecule: ribosomal RNA, 524 nt
Filed under: uncultured bacterium
Lineage: Bacteria
Description: partial 16S ribosomal RNA
Rfam family: Bacterial small subunit ribosomal RNA
Source: RNAcentral